RNAcentral lists this ribosomal RNA (496 nucleotides) under uncultured bacterium. RNAcentral's name for it is "partial 16S ribosomal RNA". It matches the Rfam family "Bacterial small subunit ribosomal RNA", at positions 28 to 506 of the family's 1533-position model. The record is from RNAcentral.
GAUGAACGCUGGCGGCGUGCCUAAUACAUGCAAGUCGAGCGAACAGACGAGGAGCUUGCUCCUCUGACGUUAGCGGCGGACGGGUGAGUAACACGUGGAUAACCUACCUAUAAGACUGGGAUAACUUCGGGAAACCGGAGCUAAUACCGGAUAAUAUAUUGAACCGCAUGGUUCAAUAGUGAAAGACGGUUUUGCUGUCACUUAUAGAUGGAUCCGCGCCGCAUUAGCUAGUUGGUAAGGUAACGGCUUACCAAGGCAACGAUGCGUAGCCGACCUGAGAGGGGGAUCGGCCAAACGGGAACGGAAACCAGGGCCAGACCCCUAGGGGGGGCAGGAGUAGGGAAUUUUCCGAAAGGGGGGAAAGCCGGACGGAGCAACGCCGCGGGGGGGAAGAAGGUCUUGGGAUCGUAAAACCUUUUUAUUAGGGAAAAAAAAAUGUGUAAGUAACUAUGCACGUCUUGACGGUACCUAAGAAGAAAACCACGGCGAACUACGG